GCCCCUUUAGCUCAGUGGAUAGAGCGUCUGCCUCCGGAGCAGAAGGUCGCUGGUUCGAAUCCAGUAGGGGGCACAA
Molecule: transfer RNA, 76 nt
Filed under: Georgenia yuyongxinii
Lineage: Bacteria; Bacillati; Actinomycetota; Actinomycetes; Allobogoriellales; Allobogoriellaceae
Description: Georgenia sp. Z443 tRNA-Arg
Rfam family: tRNA
About the family: Transfer RNA (tRNA) molecules are approximately 80 nucleotides in length. Their secondary structure includes four short double-helical elements and three loops (D, anti-codon, and T loops).
Source: RNAcentral